RNAcentral lists this ribosomal RNA (506 nucleotides) under uncultured bacterium. Its description in RNAcentral is "bacterial SSU rRNA". It matches the Rfam family "Bacterial small subunit ribosomal RNA", at positions 19 to 518 of the family's 1533-position model. The record is from RNAcentral.
CUGGCUCAGGAUGAACGCUAGCGGCAGGCUUAACACAUGCAAGUCGAGGGGCAUCGGGAGUAGCAAUACUUGCCGGCGACCGGCGCAAGGGUGCGUAACGCGUGAGCAACAUGCCCGUAUCAGGGGGAUAAUCCAUGGAAACGUGGUCUAAUACCCCAUAGUAAUUAUGUAAGGCAUCUUAUAUAAUUUAAAGCUUUGGUGGAUACGGAUUGGCUCGCGUGACAUUAGCUGGAUGGUAAGGUAACGGCUUACCAUGGCUACGAUGUCUAGGGGUUCUGAGAGGAAGGUCCCCCCACACUGGAACUGAGACACGGUCCAGACUCCUACGGGAGGCAGCAGUGAGGAAUAUUGGACAAUGGAUGGAAAUCUGAUCCAGCCAUGCCGCGUGCAGGAAAGACGGCCCUAUGGGUUGUAAACUGCUUUUGUAUGGGAGCAAUAAGGGCUACGUGUAGUCCGAUGAGAGUACCAUACGAAUAAGCACCGGCUAACUCCGUGCCAGCAGCCGC